Molecule: ribosomal RNA, 492 nt
Filed under: uncultured bacterium
Lineage: Bacteria
Description: partial 16S ribosomal RNA
Rfam family: Bacterial small subunit ribosomal RNA
Source: RNAcentral
AGUGAACGCUGGCGGUAGGCCUAACACAUGCAAGUCGAACGGCAGCACAGUAAGAGCUUGCUCUUACGGGUGGCGAGUGGCGGACGGGUGAGGAAUACAUCGGAAUCUACUUUUUCGUGGGGGAUAACGUAGGGAAACUUACGCUAAUAUCGCAUACGACCUACGGGUGAAAGCAGGGGAUCUUCGGACCUUGCGCGAUUGAAUGAGCCGAUGUCGGAUUAGCUAGUUGGCGGGGUAAAGGCCCACCAAGGCGACGAUCCGUAGCUGGUCUGAGAGGAUGAUCAGCCACACUAGAACUGAGACACGGUCCAGACUCCUACGGGAGGCAGCAGUGGGGAAUAUUGGACAAUGGGCGCAAGCCUGAUCCAGCCAUACCGCGUGGGUGAAGAAGGCCUUCGGGUUGUAAAGCCCUUUUGUUGGGAAAGAAAAGCAGCAGGUUAAUACCCCGCUGUUCUGACGGUACCCAAUGAAUAAGCACCGGCUAACUUCGUG